UAGGGAAUCUUCCACAAUGGGCGAAAGCCUGAUGGAGCAACGCCGCGUGAGUGAAGAAGGAUUUCGGUUCGUAAAACUCUGUUGUAAGGGAAGAACAAGUAGCGUAGUAACUGGCGCUACCUUGACGGUACCUUAUUAGAAAGCCACGGCUAACUACGUGCCAGCAGCCGCGGUAAUACGUAGGUGGCAAGCGUUGUCCGGAAUUAUUGGGCGUAAAGCGCGCGCAGGUGGUCCUUUAAGUCUGAUGUGAAAGCCCACGGCUCAACCGUGGAGGGUCAUUGGAAACUGGGGGACUUGAGUGCAGAAGAGGAUAGUGGAAUUCCAAGUGUAGCGGUGAAAUGCGUAGAGAUUUGGAGGAACACCAGUGGCGAAGGCGACUAUCUGGUCUGUAACUGACACUGAGGCGCGAAAGCGUGGGGAGCAAACAG
Molecule: ribosomal RNA, 428 nt
Filed under: uncultured bacterium
Lineage: Bacteria
Description: bacterial SSU rRNA
Rfam family: Bacterial small subunit ribosomal RNA
Source: RNAcentral